This 1026-nucleotide long non-coding RNA is filed under the name Gallus gallus (chicken). RNAcentral describes it as "lncRNA (ENSGALG00010007024.1)". Lineage: Eukaryota; Metazoa; Chordata; Aves; Galliformes; Phasianidae. The record is from RNAcentral.
GUCAAGAACAACAACGGAAAUAACGCAAAUAACGGAAAUACCGGAAAUAACCUCCGAAAGACAGAAACAUACAAAAAAAAAUUAACUGACAGUUCAAGAACAACAACGGAAAUAACGGAAAUAAUGGAAAUAACGGAAAUACCCUCCUCAGAGACAGAAACUUACGGCUGAAAAUUAACUGACAGGUCAAGAACAACAACGGAAAUAACUGAAAUAACAGAAAUAACCUCCGAAAGACAGAAACAUACGGCAGAAAAAUAGGUGACAGGUCUAGAACAACAACGGAAAUAACGGAAAUAACGGAAAUGAUGGAAAUAACGAAAAUAACAAAAAUAACGGAAAGAAUGGAAAGAACGGAAAGAACAGAAAGUAUAGAAAGAACAAAAAAUACGGAAAUAAUAACGGAAAUAACGGAAAUGAACUCCAUAGGGACAGAAACAUACAGCAGAAAAUUAGGUGACAGGUCAAGAAUACCAACGGAAAGAACGGAAAGAACCUCCAGAGAGACAGAAACAUACGGCAGAAAAUUAGGUGACAGGUCAAGAACAACAAAGGAAAAAACUGAAAUAACGGAAAUAACAGAAAUAACGGAAAUAACGGAAAUAACCUCUGAAAAACAGAAACAUACGGCAGAAAUUUAGGUGACAGGUCAAGAACAAGCACGGAAAGAACGGAAAGAACGGAUAGAACCUCCAGAGAGACAGAAACAUACGGCAGAAAAUUAGGUGACAGGUCAAGAACAACAACGGAAAUAACGGAAAGAACGGAAAGAACGGAAAUAACCACCGAAAAACAGAAACAUACGGCCGAAAAUUAGGAGACAGGUCUAGAACAACAACGGAAAUAACGGAAAGAAUGGAAAGAAUGGAAAUAACCACCGAAAAACAGAAACAUACGGCCGAAAAUUAGGAGACAGGUCUAGAACAACAACGGAAAUAACAGAAAUAACGGAAAUAACAAAAAUAACAGAAAUAACGAAAAGAACGGAAAGAACAGAAAGUACGGAAAGAAUAGAAAGAACGGAAA